RNAcentral lists this ribosomal RNA (425 nucleotides) under Amaurobioides sp. BDO-22. RNAcentral's name for it is "partial 16S ribosomal RNA". The record is from RNAcentral. Lineage: Eukaryota; Metazoa; Arthropoda; Arachnida; Araneae; Anyphaenidae.
UAACAAAAACAUUUCUAUUAGAUUUUAUUAAUAGUAUAAUCUGCUCAAUGAUAUUAAAUAGCCGCUAUUACUGUGCUAAGGUAGCAUAAUCAUUUGUCUUUUAAUUAAAGACUAGAACAAAAGAUUGAACAUUUUAAUUAAUAUAUUUAAAUUAAUUAAUUAAAUUUAUUUUAAAUGUAAAAAAACAUUUAUAAAUUAGAAAGACGAUAAGACCCUAUUAAACUUAACUUAAGUUAAACUGGGGCAGUUAAUUAAUUAUUACUUUAAUUUAAAUCAAAAAAUAAAUAGAUCCUAUAAAAUAGAUUAAAUGAUCAAGUUACUAUAGGGAUAACAGCGUAAUAUUAAUUAAAAGAUCUUAUUUAAAUAAAAGAUUACGACCUCGAUGUUGAAUUAAUAACCUAUAUAGUUGCAAUAAACAAUAAAGG